Molecule: transfer RNA, 73 nt
Filed under: Flavihumibacter petaseus NBRC 106054
Lineage: Bacteria; Pseudomonadati; Bacteroidota; Chitinophagia; Chitinophagales; Chitinophagaceae
Also listed under: 6 other names
Rfam family: tRNA
About the family: Transfer RNA (tRNA) molecules are approximately 80 nucleotides in length. Their secondary structure includes four short double-helical elements and three loops (D, anti-codon, and T loops).
Source: Rfam by way of RNAcentral
GAUUCCGUAGCUCAGCUGGUAGAGCAAUACACUUUUAAUGUAUGGGCCCUGGGUUCGAGUCCCAGCGGGAUCA